RNAcentral lists this ribosomal RNA (340 nucleotides) under uncultured soil bacterium. RNAcentral's name for it is "bacterial SSU rRNA". It matches the Rfam family "Bacterial small subunit ribosomal RNA", at positions 26 to 346 of the family's 1533-position model. The record is from RNAcentral.
AGGACGAACGCUGGCGGCGUGCUUAACACAUGCAAGUGGUGCGACGAACCAGGCUUCGGCCUGGGGCAAAGCCGCGAACGGGUGAGUAACACGUGGGUAACCUGCCUCGAAGACCGGGACAACCCGGGGAAACCCGAGCUAAUACCGGAUGUGGUCGUCUCUCUAUAAGGGAGACGAGCAAAGGGAGCUUCGGCCCCCGCUUCGAGAGUCGGCCCGCGGCCCAGUUAGCUUGGUUGGUGAGGUAACGGCUACAACCGAAGGCGACGAGUGGGUAGCGUGGUCUGAGAGGACGAUCAGCCACACGUGGGACUGGAGACGACGGCCCAGACUCCGUACGGGA